ACACAACAAGUUGGAAAUCGCAAAUUCAACAAUGAUUUGUUUCGAGGGAAUCAGUGGCUAACUGCAAGCGUUGCAAAGAAACCACAAACGUUAGCCUGCUAAUCAAUUGAGUGGCUGUGUUUUUUAUUCUUCAAGAGUUCCCACCAUAAAUCCAGAGUGUCAUACUUCGAUGACAAAAUUUGCCCACAAAGGACCGCUGCGCCACCUUCACAAGGCCCACCCCAGUAAGAGAUACUUUGCUUUGGCAGAGAAGGGAGACCAGCCCAACAUCGUCAUCUAUGAAUAUCCCUCACUACAACCCUACCGCAUUCUCAGAGGUAUGGGAACUACAAUACACACACAAACUAUUCGAUUUUUAACUAUUUAUAAAGCAUAUGAUCAAUGAUCAAGACAUUUGGUCUGUGGACUUUAACUGUGAGGGCACCCUGCUGGCCAGUGUGGGUAGUGCUCCGGACUACUUGCUGACACUGUGGGAGUGGAGGCAUGAACAGGUGAUGCUGCGUUGCAAGGCCUUCGUUCUCACAGGACGUCUAAGGGUCACCUUCUCACCUGACAACGCCGGGCAACUCACCACCUCCGGAUCAGGACACAUGAAGCUUUGGAAAAUGGCCAGCACUUUUACUGGUCUCAAACUGAAAGGCCUUCUGGAAAGGUUUAAGUAGACUACCCUGACAGAUAUCGUGGGGAAGGUCUGUCCACUGCUCUUAUCAUUCAAUUCCUACUAUUCCAUUGAAAAUGACCCAAAGCAAUAUGCUCUUUUCCUGUUGUUCUAUGUUAUCCCGAUCACAUCCCUUCUGUCUGUGUGUUAUUGGGUUCUGAGAAUAUGAAAUAUACUUAUUCAUGUCCCUGAGGGAAAGAGGGUAAUGCAUAUAACAGUUACAUUAUGUCAGAUAAAGUUAUUAUUAGCCAUCAGGGAUCCGAGGAGAAGAGAGACAGUCUGGUACCAAUCACCAUGGCGGCCGUGAGUUGGGGAGGAGUGAGCACUUUGGGGUAGAGGUCAGGUCAGAUGAAGUGAGGAAGAACAGAUAUCACUA
Oncorhynchus kisutch (coho salmon) is the source of this 1034-nucleotide long non-coding RNA. RefSeq lists it as uncharacterized. The record is from RefSeq and is a predicted model, not a curated record. Lineage: Eukaryota; Metazoa; Chordata; Actinopteri; Salmoniformes; Salmonidae. The transcript has 3 exons.